UACGUAGGGUGCAAGCGUUGUCCGGAAUUAUUGGGCGUAAAGAGCUCGUAGGCGGUUUGUCGCGUCGAAUGUGAAAACCCGGGGCUCAACCCCGGGCCUGCAUUCGAUACGGGCAGACUAGAGUUCGGUAGGGGAGUCUGGAAUUCCUGGUGUAGCGGUGAAAUGCGCAGAUAUCAGGAGGAACACCGGUGGCGAAGGCGGGACUCUGGGCCGAUACUGACGCUGAGGCACGAAGGCCAGGGGAGCAAACGGG
RNAcentral lists this ribosomal RNA (253 nucleotides) under uncultured bacterium. RNAcentral describes it as "partial 16S ribosomal RNA". It matches the Rfam family "Bacterial small subunit ribosomal RNA", at positions 524 to 776 of the family's 1533-position model. The record is from RNAcentral.